RNAcentral lists this long non-coding RNA (224 nucleotides) under Physcomitrium patens. RNAcentral describes it as "long non-coding RNA (PPAT_LNC001782)". The record is from RNAcentral. Lineage: Eukaryota; Viridiplantae; Streptophyta; Bryopsida; Funariales; Funariaceae.
CUUACUGUGCAGCGUCCUCGCAAACCACCUCGUACUACGUUUUACAAUAUCACCACAUCAUUGGCUUCCUCCAAUGUCUGAACCUCUGGUCCGCCUUGGUCCGUUUCAUCAUUUCCAUAAGUGAGAUUGGUUUCGACUUCUUGAGCUUCUUCUCCAACUCCCUCUCCCACCUGCUCUCCGUUCAAUAAAGCUGUCAAGUCCUCGUUAAGUGCUCCCAAUUCCCG